Molecule: ribosomal RNA, 420 nt
Filed under: uncultured bacterium
Lineage: Bacteria
Description: bacterial SSU rRNA
Rfam family: Bacterial small subunit ribosomal RNA
Source: RNAcentral
GGAAUAUUGGACAAUGGGGGCAACCCUGAUCCAGCCAUGCCGCGUGUGUGAAGAAGGCUUUCGGGUUGCACAGCACUUUCAGUGGGGAAGAAGGCCUUGGGCUUAAUACGCUUGAGGAAGGACAUCACCCACAGAAGAAGCACCGGCCAACUCCGUUCCAGCCGCCGCGGUAAUACGGAGGGGGCGAGCGUUAAUCGGAAUUACUGGGCGUAAAGCGCGCGUAGGCGGCUAAGUAAGCCGGUUGUGAAAGCCCCGGGAUCAACCUGGGAACGGCAUCCGGAACUGUUUAGCUAGAGUGCAGGAGAGGAAGGUAGAAUUCCCGGUGUAGCGGUGAAAUGCGUAGAGAUCGGGAGGAAUACCAGUGGCGAAGGCGGCCUUCUGGACUGACACUGACGCUGAGGUGCGAAAGCGUGGGUAGCA